RNAcentral lists this small RNA (31 nucleotides) under Caenorhabditis elegans. RNAcentral describes it as "Unclassified non-coding RNA B0399.3". The record is from RNAcentral. Lineage: Eukaryota; Metazoa; Nematoda; Chromadorea; Rhabditida; Rhabditidae.
CACGGCGGAAGAGAAGUCGGUUGAUUAGAAC